RNAcentral lists this long non-coding RNA (1952 nucleotides) under Homo sapiens (human). Its description in RNAcentral is "uncharacterized LOC102724542, transcript variant 16 (LOC102724542)". Lineage: Eukaryota; Metazoa; Chordata; Mammalia; Primates; Hominidae. The record is from RNAcentral.
GCAGCUGCCGGACACCAGGAGACGAUGGAAGGUCUAUAGUGUUACAGCUCUGACCCAGGAAGUCCCAGGGUCUUGCCUUCCAGAAGGGUCGCGGCUCUUCCCUCCCUCAGUCCAACGAACAGGAGCACGUCACCUCCCGCAGCUCGGGGAGCUGGCCAGGAACGUGUUACAGCCCGUUUCGCUCCUGUCCGCAGCUGGGUGAGGCAGCCAGGAAAAUAUUACAGCUCUUCUCACGCCCGCCAUUCAGCAGGUCCUGACUUCUUGUGUGACAUCCAGAAGAAAGGGGUUACACAGACAGCUGGAGGGUGAGCAAAGUGGAGAAGUUCUCAGCAGAGAGGAGACUGGAGUGAGUUGCCCCUACCCGCAGGUGCCAACUGUAAUACAUCAGUAGCUGAACAGCUCAUUGCCCUCAAGUGUUCUUGCUCAUGCCUGGCUGAGUUAUUGAAGAAAUUGCUCAGAUCUCAAGCCCUUGUAGAUCACUGGUCCUGGCAGAUGUUAUUAUACACCCGUGAUAUUGAUGGCAGUGGCUGCUGCUGUCGUGGCUGCUGCUAUCACGCCUGCUGCAACACAGAGGUGCGACUGGGGCUGCACAUUUCACGGAGGUGUUGGGAGUUCCGCCCCUUCUGAUGUGGGGAAAGAGAUCCCCAGGUGCCCCUGCAUCUGCCCAAACUGUGGCUGUGGAUCGGAGGCUCCAGGUUGGCAGGUUGGGAGCUUCCGGGUGCAGCUGCGACCGCCCUCCCAGGUGCAGGACCCUGGUGUUUCUGCAGCCUGCACCCUUGGGGGCCCCAGGAAAGACCCAUAUCCUUGCAGGCUUGGAGGUGUUUGCUUCUUCUGCCUGGCCUCUCUCGGCUCCCGGUGCAUGCUCUCAUAUCUGAGUGGGGGUUGGUGCUGAGCCCCGGGGCCGUGAAUUGCAGCAGGAGGCAGAUUUAUUCCUGGGCAGAAGGUGGCAGAUCCCAAGUAAGGGGACCUUCAAGCCAGGGAGGGCCUGAAGGCUGGUGGCUGGGCUACCAGUCCCACCGACCAGAGUGGGGAUUCGUGGGCCUCUUCUGGGCCACCCAUAGCCACCCAUGGACCAAUCAGCAAGCACAUCCUCCCCUCUGAGGUCCGUAAAAGCCCUGGGCGCAGCCUGAGCAGGGCAGAGGAAGGCCAGAGGUGAAGGAGUCAGAGAGGCGACAGGAUAGGCAGCUGCCGAGAGAAGUACGCCUCUCUGCUGAGACCUGGAGAUGACGGGAAGGCCAGAUGCAGAGAGGAGCUACCCUCUCUGCUUAGAGCUGCCAGGAGGAGCUACCAACCUUCUCUGCUGAGAGCUGCAGAGAUGACCUGCUGGCAGAGAGGAGCUACCCACUGCGGGUCUCCUCUGAUCUGUUGUAAUGCUGAAUAAAGCUUCUUUUCAUCUUGUUCACCUUCCACUUGUCUGCAUACCUCAUUCUACCCGGACGCAAGCAAGAACUCGAGCAAAGGCACAACCAGCCACAGAGGUUUCUGGCCAGAAAAUCGACACCCCAAAAGUCCUAUAACAAUCUGAUUCUAAAAGCAACAUCAUCUUUUCAAUGUAAUUCUAAAAGAAUUUGGGAUUAUUUUAUUUAAUUUCAGGAUCCCCUCUGAAGAAAAUCAACUUACAAAGGAUGGCAGGUCUUAAGAAAGGUACUUAGCAAGUGCUGGUACAUUCUAAGCAAUCAAUAUUUGUCAAUGUUCAGUAAUUGUACAAUUGUACUAGAGAAAACAAUUCCAGGGGCUUAAAAUUAUCUUAUACAAGGAUCCACUUUAUUAUUAUUUUUUCUGUUUGUUUUGGAUAAAUUACUGACUCCUUAUCUCAGUUAUGUUAUGUGUUAAAUGUUUACAGUGUUAUUUUGUAUCUCUCAAGGGCUUUUGUUAGAAUUUUCAAUGAGAUACCUUAAAACCUCUAAAAAGAAAAUGGAUGUUAUAAGUAAAUAAAAAUAAGUCUGAAUGGC